RNAcentral lists this small RNA (281 nucleotides) under Cytobacillus solani. RNAcentral's name for it is "BsrG". It matches the Rfam family "BsrG". Rfam says of the family: bsrE, bsrG and bsrH pair through intermolecular interactions with antisense sRNAs. SR4 interaction with the 3'UTR of bsrG RNA promotes bsrG degradation and inhibits its translation. The record is from Rfam by way of RNAcentral. Lineage: Bacteria; Bacillati; Bacillota; Bacilli; Caryophanales; Bacillaceae.
UAAUAGAAUAGAAUAACUCAAGGGUGGUCAGCAUUCCCGUUUCUUGUUCCUCUUUUAUAGAGAAUCUAAGAAUUAAAGGGGGUGCUGCGUGUGAGCGUAUUUCAAGCGUUAGUAAUUAUGAUAAGCUUUUCAAGCUUGAUUGUUGCUGUUAUCGCGUUAUCACAAAAAAAGUAAACCGCCCUUGAGCCUGCAAGCAAUUGGCGGUUUACCGUUCUGAGUUGCUGAUCGCCUUUGAGGCGACGCUAUUUUAUUACGGCCGUUUGGUGUUACUAGCACCAGAC